Molecule: non-coding RNA, 27 nt
Filed under: Bombyx mori (domestic silkworm)
Lineage: Eukaryota; Metazoa; Arthropoda; Insecta; Lepidoptera; Bombycidae
Source: RNAcentral
UAUUACUCUGUCCGAAGUUGCGCGCUC